UACGUAGGGGGCUAGCGUUGUCCGGAUUUAUUGGGCGUAAAGAGCGCGUAGGCGGCCAGGUAAGUCCGACGUGAAAUCUGGAGGCUCAACCUCCAGCGGUCGUUGGGAACUACUUGGCUAGAGUCCGGAAGAGGAGAGUGGAAUUCCUGGUGUAGCGGUGAAAUGCGCAGAUAUCAGGAAGAACACCGAUGGCGAAAGCAGCUCUCUGGGACGGUACUGACGCUGAGGCGCGAAAGCGUGGGGAGCGAACAGG
RNAcentral lists this ribosomal RNA (253 nucleotides) under uncultured bacterium. Its description in RNAcentral is "partial 16S ribosomal RNA". It matches the Rfam family "Bacterial small subunit ribosomal RNA", at positions 524 to 776 of the family's 1533-position model. The record is from RNAcentral.